GGGAUGUAGCUCAGUGGAAGAGCACUUGCCUAGCAUGCACAAGGCCCUGGGUUCGAUCCCCAGUACCCA
Molecule: transfer RNA, 69 nt
Filed under: Marmota monax (woodchuck)
Lineage: Eukaryota; Metazoa; Chordata; Mammalia; Rodentia; Sciuridae
Rfam family: tRNA
About the family: Transfer RNA (tRNA) molecules are approximately 80 nucleotides in length. Their secondary structure includes four short double-helical elements and three loops (D, anti-codon, and T loops).
Source: Rfam by way of RNAcentral